This 242-nucleotide ribosomal RNA is filed under the name uncultured Bacteroidota bacterium. RNAcentral describes it as "uncultured Bacteroidetes bacterium partial 16S ribosomal RNA". It matches the Rfam family "Bacterial small subunit ribosomal RNA", at positions 796 to 1041 of the family's 1533-position model. RNAcentral also lists the same sequence under 1 other name. The record is from RNAcentral. Lineage: Bacteria; Pseudomonadati; Bacteroidota.
CACGCCGUAAACGAUGAUCACUCGCUGUUGGCGAUACACAGUCAGCGGCAAAGCAAAAGCAUUAAGUGAUCCACCUGGGGAGUACGGCCGCAAGGCUGAAACUCAAAGGAAUUGACGGGGGCCCGCACAAGCGGAGGAACAUGUGGUUUAAUUCGAUGAUACGCGAGGAACCUUACCUGGGCUUAAAUGUAGAGUGCAUUUCACCGAAAGGUGGAUUUUCUUCGGAACUCUCUGCAAGGUGC